CCCAGACAGCCAGGAUGUUGGCUUAGAAGCAGCCAUCAUUUAAAGAAAGCGUAAUAGCUCACUGGUCGAGUCGGCCUGCGCGGAAGAUGUAACGGGGCUAAACCAUGCACCGAAGCUGCGGCAGCGAACGUAUCACUUAAAGCGAUUCAGCGGGUUACGAUUGACGGAGCGAAGCGACGUCAAAGCGUAUACAAAGUCGAGUCGGUUUAAGGAUACGUUCGUUGGGUAGGGGAGCGUUCUGUAAGCCUGUGAAGGUGGCCUGUGAGGGUUGCUGGAGGUAUCAGAAGUGCGAAUGCUGACAUAAGUAACGAUAAAGCGGGUGAAAAGCCCGCUCGCCGGAAGACCAAGGGUUCCUGUCCAACGUUAAUCGGGGCAGGGUGAGUCGACCCCUAAGGCGAGGCCGAAAGGCGUAGUCGAUGGGAAACAGGUUAAUAUUCCUGUACUUGGUGUUACUGCGAAGGGGGGACGGAGAAGGCUAUGUUGGCCGGGCGACGGUUGUCCCGGUUUAAGCGUGUAGGUGUGUGUUCCAGGUAAAUCCGGUUCACUUUAACACUGAGGCGUGACGACGAGGCACUACGGUGCUGAAGCAACAAAUGCCCUGCUUCCAGGAAAAGCCUCUAAGCAUCAGGUAACACGAAAUCGUACCCCAAACCGACACAGGUGGUCAGGUAGAGAAUACCAAGGCGCUUGA
This 691-nucleotide ribosomal RNA is filed under the name Salmonella enterica subsp. enterica serovar Anatum. Its description in RNAcentral is "partial 23S ribosomal RNA". It matches the Rfam family "Bacterial large subunit ribosomal RNA", at positions 1084 to 1693 of the family's 2925-position model. Lineage: Bacteria; Pseudomonadati; Pseudomonadota; Gammaproteobacteria; Enterobacterales; Enterobacteriaceae. The record is from RNAcentral.